GAUGAACGCUAGCUACAGGCUUAACACAUGCAAGUCGAGGGCAGCACUAGGUAGCAAUACUGGAGGUGGCGACCGGCGCACGGGUGCGUAACGCGUAUCCAACUUCCCGAUACUCUUGGAUAGCCUUCCGAAAGGGAGAUUAAUACAAGAUGGUGUUUCAAUUCCGCAUGUUAUUGAAACUAAAGAUUUAUCGGUAUCGGAUGGGGAUGCGUGACAUUAGAUAGUAGGCGGGGUAACGGCCCACCUAGUCUACGAUGUCUAGGGGUUCUGAGAGGAAGGUCCCCCACACUGGAACUGAGACACGGUCCAGACUCCUACGGGAGGCAGCAGUGAGGAAUAUUGGUCAAUGGUCGGAAGACUGAACCAGCCAAGUAGCGUGAAGGAUGAAGGUUCUAUGGAUUGUAAACUUCUUUUAUACGGGAAUAAAACCUCCCACGUGUGGGAGCUUGUAUGUACCGUAUGAAUAAGCAUCGGCUAACUCCGUG
RNAcentral lists this ribosomal RNA (485 nucleotides) under uncultured bacterium. RNAcentral's name for it is "bacterial SSU rRNA". It matches the Rfam family "Bacterial small subunit ribosomal RNA", at positions 28 to 507 of the family's 1533-position model. The record is from RNAcentral.